RNAcentral lists this ribosomal RNA (253 nucleotides) under uncultured bacterium. RNAcentral describes it as "partial 16S ribosomal RNA". It matches the Rfam family "Bacterial small subunit ribosomal RNA", at positions 524 to 776 of the family's 1533-position model. The record is from RNAcentral.
UACGUAGGGGGCAAGCGUUGUCCGGAAUCAUUGGGCGUAAAGCGCGUGUAGGCGGCUAGGUAAGUCUGCUCUGAAAGCCCGUGGCUCAACCACGGAAUUGCCUUUGAAACUGCAUUGCUGGAGUGUCGGAGGGGAUAGCGGAAUUGCUAAUGUAGAGGUGAAAUUCGUAGAUAUUAGCAGGAACACCGGUGGCGAAGGCGGCUAUCUGGACGACAACUGACGCUGAGGCGCGAAAGCGUGGGGAUCAAACAGG